AGAGUUUGAUCCUGGCUCAGGACGAACGCUGGCGGCGUGCCUAAUACAUGCAAGUCGAGCGAAUCGAUGGGAGCUUGCUCCCUGAGAUUAGCGGCGGACGGGUGAGUAACACGUGGGCAACCUGCCUAUAAGACUGGGAUAACUUCGGGAAACCGGAGCUAAUACCGGAUACGUUCUUUUCUUGCAUGAGAGAAGAUGGAAAGACGGUUUACGCUGUCACUUAUAGAUGGGCCCGCGUCGGAUUAGCUAGUUGGUGAGGUAAUGGCUCACCAAGGCGACGAUCCGUAACUGGUCUGAGAGGAUGAUCAGUCACACUGGAACUGAGACACGGUCCAGACUCCUACGGGAGGCAGCAGUGGGGAAUAUUGGACAAUGGGCGAAAGCCUGAUCCAGCCAUGCCGCGUGUGUGAAGAAGGUCUUCGGAUUGUAAAGCACUUUAAGUUGGGAGGAAGGGCAGUAAAUUAAUACUUUGCUGUUUUGACGUUACCGACAGAAUAAGCACCGGCUAACUUCGUGCCAGCAGCCGCGGUAAUACGAAGGGUGCAAGCGUUAAUCGGAAUUACUGGGCGUAAAGCGCGCGUAGGUGGUUUGUUAAGUUGAAUGUGAAAGCCCCGGGCUCAACCUGGGAACUGCAUCCAAAACUGGCAAGCUAGAGUAUGGCAGAGGGUGGUGGAAUUUCCUGUGUAGCGGUGAAAUGCGUAGAUAUAGGAAGGAACACCAGUGGCGAAGGCGACCACCUGGACUAAUACUGACACUGAGGUGCGAAAGCGUGGGGAGCAAACAGGAUUAGAUACCCUGGUAGUCCACGCCGUAAACGAUGUCAACUAGCCGUUGGAAGCCUUGAGCUUUUAGUGGCGCAGCUAACGCAUUAAGUUGACCGCCUGGGGAGUACGGCCGCAAGGUUAAAACUCAAAUGAAUUGACGGGGGCCCGCACAAGCGGUGGAGCAUGUGGUUUAAUUCGAAGCAACGCGAAGAACCUUACCAGGUCUUGACAUCUUCGGAUGUCCCUAGAGAUAGGGAGUUCCCUUCGGGGACCGAAUGACAGGUGGUGCAUGGUUGUCGUCAGCUCGUGUCGUGAGAUGUUGGGUUAAGUCCCGCAACGAGCGCAACCCUUGAUCUUAGUUGCCAGCAUUCAGUUGGGCACUCUAAGGUGACUGCCGGUGACAAACCGGAGGAAGGUGGGGAUGACGUCAAAUCAUCAUGCCCCUUAUGACCUGGGCUACACACGUGCUACAAUGGAUAGAACAAAGGGAAGCGAAGCCGCAAGGUGUAGCAAAUCCCGUAAAUCUAUUCUCAGUUCGGAUUGCAGGCUGCAACUCGCCUGUAUGAAGCCGGAAUCGCUAGUAAUCGUGGAUCAGCAUGCCACGGUGAAUACGUUCCCGGGCCUUGUACACACCGCCCGUCACACCACGAGAGUUGGCAACACCCGAAGUCGGUGGGGUAACCUUUGGAGCCAGCCGCCGAAGGUGGGGCCAAUGAUUGGGGUGAAGUCGUAACAAGGUAACCGUA
Molecule: ribosomal RNA, 1510 nt
Filed under: uncultured Bacilli bacterium
Lineage: Bacteria; Bacillati; Bacillota; Bacilli
Description: bacterial SSU rRNA
Rfam family: Bacterial small subunit ribosomal RNA
Source: RNAcentral